This 114-nucleotide microRNA precursor is filed under the name Caenorhabditis briggsae. Its description in RNAcentral is "miRNA-54d". The stretch from base 10 to 101 matches the Rfam family "mir-54 microRNA precursor family". The record is from RNAcentral. Lineage: Eukaryota; Metazoa; Nematoda; Chromadorea; Rhabditida; Rhabditidae.
AAAGCGCUAGGUGAUCCUUGACUAGGAUAUAAAAAGAACGUGUGUACAUGAAUCCAGUGAAUACUUGUACCCGUAUUUUUAUAUCCGAGCCAAGGAUUACCGUUGAUCGUUUUC